GACGAACGCUGGCGGCGUGCCUAAUACAUGCAAGUUGAACGCUUCUUUCUUAUCGAACUUCGGUUCACCAAGAAAGAAGAGUAGCGAACGGGUGAGUAACACGUGGGUAACCUGCCCAUCAGCGGGGUAUAACACUUGGAAACAGGUGCUAAUACCGCAUAAUACUUUUUCUCUCAUGAGUGAAAGUUGAAAGGCGCUUUUGCGUCACUGAUGGAUGGACCCGGGGUGCAUUAGCUAGUUGGUAGGGUAACGGCCUACCAAGGCAAUGAUGCAUAGCCGACCUGAGAGGGUGAUCGGCUACACUGGGACUGAGACACGGCCCAGACUCCUACGGGAGGCAGCAGUAGGGAAUCUUCGGCAAUGGACGAAAGUCUGACCGAGCAACGCCGCGUGAGUGAAGAAGGUUUUCGGAUCGUAAAACUCUGUUGUUAGAGAAGAACAAGGAUGAGAAGAGAAUGUUCAUCCCUUGACGGUAUCUAACCAGAAAGCCACGGCUAACUACGUGCCAGCAGCCGCAGUAA
Molecule: ribosomal RNA, 521 nt
Filed under: uncultured bacterium
Lineage: Bacteria
Description: partial 16S ribosomal RNA
Rfam family: Bacterial small subunit ribosomal RNA
Source: RNAcentral